AAUUAAUCUAAUUAAUUAACAUGUAUUAACCCUACACAAGGAUCUAAAUAUAAUAUAUAUAGCAUGCAUUUAAAUUUGAAAUUUUGAAUUCCACAGUAAAUAUUUUACUGUAUGUGUUCAGAACAUGUUACCUUCGUGCAGUUAGUCGAUUGUUGCAGUCUAAUCACCGUCGGAAAGAUUUGAUCAUUGCAAUAUAGCCACAC
RNAcentral lists this long non-coding RNA (203 nucleotides) under Elaeis guineensis (African oil palm). RNAcentral describes it as "long non-coding RNA (EGUI_LNC055973)". Lineage: Eukaryota; Viridiplantae; Streptophyta; Magnoliopsida; Arecales; Arecaceae. The record is from RNAcentral.